GGAGAUGAUGAGAGAUUUGGGGUUUGAGAGUUGAUAGCAAGCGAGAGAUGGAGAGAUGGAGAGAUGACGAGUGAGAGUGCCUGAGAUUCUUCAUGAGGAAGAUCUUUGGUUUUCUGGGUUCGCUAGGUAUUCCUCUCACCUUCCCAAUAAUCCUUUUUUUUUUUUUUUUUUAAAAACAAGCACUUAAGCAUUUUAAAACUUAAGGCG
Molecule: long non-coding RNA, 207 nt
Filed under: Lathyrus oleraceus (garden pea)
Lineage: Eukaryota; Viridiplantae; Streptophyta; Magnoliopsida; Fabales; Fabaceae
Description: Pisum sativum (pea) long non-coding RNA (PSAT_LNC030334)
Source: RNAcentral